Molecule: ribosomal RNA, 931 nt
Filed under: Listeria monocytogenes
Lineage: Bacteria; Bacillati; Bacillota; Bacilli; Caryophanales; Listeriaceae
Description: partial 23S ribosomal RNA
Rfam family: Bacterial large subunit ribosomal RNA
Source: RNAcentral
ACGGUGGAUGCCUUGGCACUAGGAGCCGAAGAAGGACGGGACUAACACCGAUAUGCUUUGGGGAGCUGUACGUAAGCGUUGAUCCAGAGAUUUCCGAAUGGGGGAACCCACUAUCUUUAGUCGGAUAGUAUCCUUACGUGAAUACAUAGCGUAAGGAAGGCAGACCCAGGGAACUGAAACAUCUAAGUACCUGGAGGAAGAGAAAGAAAAAUCGAUUUCCUGAGUAGCGGCGAGCGAAACGGAAAGAGCCCAAACCAAGAAGCUUGCUUCUUGGGGUUGUAGGACACUCUAUACGGAGUUACAAAAGAAAGUUAUAAAUGAAGCGGUCUGGAAAGGCCCGCCAAAGACGGUAACAGCCCGGUAGUUGAAAUGGCUUUCCCUCCAGAGUGGAUCCUGAGUACGGCGGAACACGUGAAAUUCCGUCGGAAUCCGGGAGGACCAUCUCCCAAGGCUAAAUACUCCCUAGUGACCGAUAGUGAACCAGUACCGUGAGGGAAAGGUGAAAAGCACCCCGGAAGGGGAGUGAAACAGUUCCUGAAACCGUGUGCCUACAAGUAGUUAGAGCCCGUUAAUGGGUGAUAGCGUGCCUUUUGUAGAAUGAACCGGCGAGUUACGAUUUGUUGCAAGGUUAAGCGGAAAAAGCGGAGCCGUAGCGAAAGCGAGUCUGAAUAGGGCGCAUAAGUAACAGGUCGUAGACCCGAAACCAGGUGAUCUACCCAUGUCCAGGAUGAAGGUAAGGUAAUACUUACUGGAGGUCCGAACCCACGCACGUUGAAAAGUGCGGGGAUGAGGUGUGGGUAGCGGAGAAAUUCCAAUCGAACUUGGAGAUAGCUGGUUCUCUCCGAAAUAGCUUUAGGGCUAGCCUCGAGGUAAAGAGUCAUGGAGGUAGAGCACUGUUUGGACUAGGGGCCCUUCUCGGGUUACCGAAUUC